Heterocephalus glaber (naked mole-rat) is the source of this 1043-nucleotide long non-coding RNA. Lineage: Eukaryota; Metazoa; Chordata; Mammalia; Rodentia; Bathyergidae. The record is from Ensembl.
CAGGAGGGGUGGCCAGGCGACCCCUGCAGCGCCCUGGGUGCACUGUGUCACUAGGCAUCUGAAGAGCCGCUCAGCUGUGUCCAGCCGGGCGUCGCCCCCUCCUCGGGGACUCCACCUCCUGCAGGCACAGUGGGCCACGCCUGCGUUUCCUCCUGGAAAAGCCUCCGCUCCUACUUCGCCCUCCAUUUCUGUGACUUGGGAGCGUCGGCCAGGCGUCCUUUGGAAAUGUCUGGGGAGCUGUCCCCUGCAGAAAUGGACACUGCCCCCGAAGCCUUGGAAUGUCAUGACUGCCCACGGGAGUGAGGCUUCUUCCACCGCCCUGCCACUCAGAGACACCCAGGAGCCCAGCUGGGGAAGGGUGCACUCCACAGUUAGCCUGUCCGGCUCCAGGUCACAAGGGCCAGGUUCUUCCCGUCUCCAGAGAGCCCUGAAAUGCCUGCCUGAAGAGCUGGGAUCUGGGGGGAGGAGCAGGGGGCCCCUCCUUCCUGACACCCGGGCCCUGAUGUUCCAGAUGUUCGGGCCUGGGCUGGUCACCUAGAGUCCUCAACCUGGUGUCCUCGAAGAGUGGCCAGGCUUUGGAACCAGCAUCUCUACAGCCCUGAACUCCCAGCGAUCCUCCUGCCUCAGGCUCCGGAGUGCAGGGAUCACAGGAGUCUGGGCCUGGUGUGGCUGGGCCCUCUCAGAGGCGGCACCAAGGUUGUCAGGGCUGAGAUGUCAUCUGAAGCUUGGUGGAGGAGACCCACAUCUUACCUUGUGAUCUUGCUGGGCAAUUCAGAACUGUUGAGCCAAGGGCCGGCCGGCCUGCCUGCCUGCCUUCCUUCCUUCCUUCCCUUCCUUCCUUCCUGAACCCAGGGCCUUUGCACUGAGCUACAUCCCCAGCUUUUUUAAUUAAAAAAAAUUUUUUUUAUCAUGAGACAAGUUCUCCCUAAGUUGUUAAAGUGUCCAGUCUAGGUUUGAACUUAAGAUCCUCCUACCUCAGCCUUCGGAGUGCUUGCCAUGGUCUGUUGGUGAAGAUGCAAGUCCCAGCCCUGCCCACACUCAAG